RNAcentral lists this long non-coding RNA (1368 nucleotides) under Salmo salar (Atlantic salmon). RNAcentral describes it as "lncRNA (ENSSSAG00000088436.1)". The record is from RNAcentral. Lineage: Eukaryota; Metazoa; Chordata; Actinopteri; Salmoniformes; Salmonidae.
UUUGAAUACUUUUUUAAAUAAUAAUAUAUGCAUUGCAUUCGUUAAGUAUUCAGACCCCUUGACUUUUUCCACAUUUUUUACAUGGAUAAAAAAACAUUUCCUCAUCAAUCUACACACAAUAACCCAUAAUGACAAAGUGGAAACAGGUCUUUAGGAUUUUUGGCACAUGUAUUCAAAAUAAAAAACAGAAAUACCUUAUUUACAUAAGUAUGCAUAACCUUUGUUAUGAGACUCGAAAUUGAGCUCAGGUGCAUCCUGUUUCCAUUGAUCAUCCUUUAGAUGUUUCUACAACUUGAUUGGAGUCCAACUGUGGUAAAUUCAAUAGAUUGGACAUGAUUUGGAAAGGCACACACCUGUCUAUAUAAAGUCCCACAGUUGACAGUGCAUGUCAGAGCAAAAACCAAGCCAUGAGGUCGAAGGAAUUGUCUGUAGAGCUCCGAGACAGGAAUGUGUCGAGGCACAGAUCUGGGGAAGGGUACUAAAAAAUGUCUGCAGCAUUGAAGGUCUCUAAGAACACAGUUUCCUCCAUCAUUCUUAAAUGGAAGAAGUUUGGAAUCACCAAGACUCUUCCUAGAGCUGGCUGCUCGGCCAAACUGAGCAAUCUCGUGAGAAGGGCCUUGGUCAGGGAGGUGACCAAGAACCUGAUGGUCACACUGACAGAGCUCCAGAGUACCUUGGUGAAGAAGGGAGAACCUUCCAGAAGGACAACCAUCUCUGCAGAACUCUACUAAUCAGGCCUUUAUGGUAGAGUGGCCAGACGGAAGCUACUCCUCAGUAAAAAGCACGUGGCAGCCCGCUUGGAGUUUGCUAAAAGGCACCUAAAGGACUCACAGACUAUGAGAAACAAGAUUCUCUGGUCUGAUGAAACCAAGAUUGUACGGACGGGAGCCGCAGCUGUUGACUGAGAUAAACAAUGCCAUUAUCACUGAAAUCCCACCUGAUGUGGUGGAAGUUGUCGAACCAGAUCAGAACGCCUUCGAGGACCACCUUCAGGUGAAACUGAACAUCGACAAGGCGCUGGAGAAACAGAAGGAGAGCUACCGGAGCAGAAUCAAGAAGGGGACCAAGUGCUACGACAUCCUUCCGAAUUACUUGGUUUGGAAGAAGGACGAAAGAAAGGGUUACCUCGGUGGAAGCCAACAAUCUUCUACAGUUGGAGCAGUUGGACGGUCGACCACUGAAAGCCCUGACGCCCUACACUUAUGUGAAGCCCAAUAGACAAAACCUGAGCCCUUGGACAGUGCCUCAGUAUAACCUGGUCUGAUGAUUCCAAUCCUGGCUGUUCCUGACCACCUGGUGGUGCUGCUGAUCCCAUUUAUGCUGUGGAGCCCUGACCUGACUUCACCGGUCAUGGUACCCUGUCCCAGA